This 386-nucleotide ribosomal RNA is filed under the name uncultured bacterium. Its description in RNAcentral is "bacterial SSU rRNA". It matches the Rfam family "Bacterial small subunit ribosomal RNA", at positions 370 to 772 of the family's 1533-position model. The record is from RNAcentral.
AAUGGGGGAAACCCUGAUGCAGCAACGCCGCGUGAAGGAUGAAGGUUUUCGGAUUGUAAACUUCUUUAGUCGGGGACGAAUAAUGACGGUACCCGAAGAAUAAGCCACGGCUAACUACGUGCCAGCAGCCGCGGUAAUACGUAGGUGGCGAGCGUUGUCCGGAUUUACUGGGUGUAAAGGGCGUGUAGGCGGGGAUGCAAGUCAGAUGUGAAAUCCCGGGGCUCAACUCCGGGGCUGCAUCUGAAACUAUAUCUCUUGAGUGCUGGAGAGGAAAGCGGAAUUCCUAGUGUAGCGGUGAAAUGCGUAGAUAUUAGGAGGAACACCAGUGGCGAAGGCGGCUUUCUGGACAGUAACUGACGCUGAGGCGCGAAAGCGUGGGGAGCAAA